Molecule: ribosomal RNA, 384 nt
Filed under: Nicotiana attenuata
Lineage: Eukaryota; Viridiplantae; Streptophyta; Magnoliopsida; Solanales; Solanaceae
Description: rRNA SSU_rRNA_eukarya
Rfam family: Eukaryotic small subunit ribosomal RNA
Source: RNAcentral
GCAGGUCUUAGUGUUGGCCAAGAACGACUUGUGUUCUUGCCAAAAGUGGGCUGUGAGCGGAUUGUGUUCAUAGCAAAGUGAGGGUCCUUUGUAUAUUUUCGAAAUUAAUACAAGGGUUGGGUAUUUUCCCGUAUUGGCUUUGUGUUCCUACUGAUUUUAUGAUUUGCUGCCUAAAAUUUUAUUAAUGCCAAACUUGCUGAAAUUUGGCUAAGUGCGAAGGAAGGCUGAGUCAAGUGCGGGACUUGACUGCUACGCGGGUGUGACUUUUGACUGACCAAAAACGCCCCCGUGACACCUACCAUGGUGGUGAUGGGUGACGGAGAAUUAGGGUUCGAUUCCGGAGAGGGAGCCUGAGAAACGGCUACCACAUCCAAGGAAGGCAGC